Molecule: ribosomal RNA, 506 nt
Filed under: uncultured bacterium
Lineage: Bacteria
Description: partial 16S ribosomal RNA
Rfam family: Bacterial small subunit ribosomal RNA
Source: RNAcentral
AUUGAACGCUGGCGGCAGGCUUAACACAUGCAAGUCGAGCGGUAACAGAGAGAAGCUUGCUUCUCUGCUGACGAGCGGCGGACGGGUGAGUAAUGCCUAGGAAUCUGCCUAGUAGUGGGGGAUAACUUGCCGAAAGGUAAGCUAAUACCGCAUACGUCCUACGGGAGAAAGGAGGGGACCUUCGGGCCUUUCGCUAUUAGAUGAGCCUAGGUCGGAUUAGUUAGUUGGUGAGGUAAUGGCUCACCAAGACCGCGAUCCGUAACUGGUCUGAGAGGAUGAUCAGUCACAAUGGGACUGAGACACGGUCCAGACUCCUACGGGAGGCAGCAGUGGGGAAUAUUGGGCAAUGGGGGGAACCCUGAUUCAGCCAUGCCGCGGGGGUGAAGAAGGUCUUAGGAUUGUAAAGCACUUUAAGUUGGGAGGAAGAGCAGUUAACUAAUAUUUGACUGUUUUGACGUUACCGACAGAAUAAGCACCGGCUAACUUCGUGCCAGCCGCCGCAGUAA